Molecule: non-coding RNA, 73 nt
Organism: Parelaphostrongylus tenuis
Lineage: Eukaryota; Metazoa; Nematoda; Chromadorea; Rhabditida; Metastrongylidae
Source: the annotation of a GenBank genome assembly
GCGUCGGUAGUGCAGUUGAUUAGCACACUCCCUCUGAAAGGGUGAAAUGCGGGUUCGAUUCCCAUCCGACGUU